GACGAACGCUGGCGGCGUGCCUAAUACAUGCAAGUAGAACGCUGAAGGAGGAUCUUGCUUCUCUGGAUGAGUUGCGAACGUGUGAGUAACGCGUAUGUAACCUGCCUGGUAGCGGGGGAUAACUUCUGGUAACGAUAGCUAAUACCGCAUAAUAGUAGAUGUUGCAUGACAUUUUCUUAAAAGUUUCAAUUUCAUCACUACCAGUUGGUCCUUCGUUGUUUUAGCUAGUUGGUGUGGUAACGGCUCACCAAGGCGACGAUACAUAGCCGACCUGAGAGGGUGAUCGGCCAAAAUGGGAAGGAGACAAGGCCCAGAAUGAUACGGGAGGCAGCAGUAGGGAAACAUCGGAAAUGGACGGAAGUCUGACCGAGAAAAGACGAGGGAGUGAAGAAGGUUGUCGGAUCGGAAAGCUAUGUUGUAAGAGAAGAACGAGUGUGAGAGUGGAAAGUUCACACAGUGACGGUAUCUAACAAGAAAGGGACGGCUAACUACGUG
Molecule: ribosomal RNA, 495 nt
Filed under: uncultured bacterium
Lineage: Bacteria
Description: partial 16S ribosomal RNA
Rfam family: Bacterial small subunit ribosomal RNA
Source: RNAcentral